GCCAGGCAUGGUGGCUCAUGCCUGUAAUCCCAGCAUUUUGGGAGGCCGAGGUGGGCGGAUCACUUGAGGUCAGGAGUUCGAGACCAGCCUGGCCAACAUGGAGAGACCCCAUCUCUA
Unclassified non-coding RNA from Pongo abelii (Sumatran orangutan), 117 nucleotides. It matches the Rfam family "Metazoan signal recognition particle RNA". Rfam says of the family: The signal recognition particle (SRP) is a universally conserved ribonucleoprotein. It is involved in the co-translational targeting of proteins to membranes. NCBI's taxonomy places the organism in Eukaryota, Metazoa, Chordata, Mammalia, Primates, Hominidae. The record is from Ensembl.